RNAcentral lists this ribosomal RNA (426 nucleotides) under uncultured bacterium. Its description in RNAcentral is "partial 16S ribosomal RNA". It matches the Rfam family "Bacterial small subunit ribosomal RNA", at positions 354 to 796 of the family's 1533-position model. The record is from RNAcentral.
GUGAGGAAUUUUCCGCAAUGGGCGAAAGCCUGACGGAGCAAUGCCGCGUGAAGGAUGAAGGCCUAUGGGUUGUAAACUUCUUUUCUUAGAGAAGAAUAUUGACGGUAUCUGAGGAAUAAGCAUCGGCUAACUCUGUGCCAGCAGCCGCGGUAAGACAGAGGAUGCAAGCGUUAUCCGGAAUGAUUGGGCGUAAAGCGUGCGUAGGCGGUUUUGUAAGUUAGGAGUGAAAGCCGAGGGCUCAAACUUGGAAUUGCUCUUAAAACUGCAAGGCUAGAAUCUCGGAGAGGAUAGCGGAAUUUCCAGUGUAGCAGUGAAAUGCGUAGAUAUUGGAAGGAACAACAGUGGCGUAAGCGGCUAUCUGGACGAGUAUUGACGCUGAGGCACGAAAGCGUGGGGAUCAAACAGGAUUAGAUACCCGAGUAGUCC